GACGAACGCUGGCGGCGUGCUUAACACAUGCAAGUCGAACGGAAAGGCCCUGCUUUUGUGGGGUGCUCGAGUGGCGAACGGGUGAGUAACACGUGAGUAACCUUCCCUUGACUUUGGGAUAACUUCAGGAAACUGGGGCUAAUACCGGAUAGGAGCUCCUGCUGCAUGGUGGGGGUUGGAAAGUUUCGGCGGUUGGGGAUGGACUCGCGGCUUAUCAGCUUGUUGGUGGGGUAGUUGCUUACCAAGGCUUUGACGGGUAGCCGGCCUGAGAGGGUGACCGGCAACAUUGGGACUGAGAUACGGCCCAGACUGCUACGGGAGGCAGCAGUGGGGAAUAGUGCACAAUGGGAGGAAGCCUGAUGCAGCAACGCCGCGUGCGGGAUGACGGCCUUCGGGUUGUAAACCGCUUUCGCAUGUGACGAAGCGUGAGUGACGGUAAUGGGUAAAGAAGCACCGGCUAACUACGUG
RNAcentral lists this ribosomal RNA (468 nucleotides) under uncultured bacterium. RNAcentral's name for it is "partial 16S ribosomal RNA". It matches the Rfam family "Bacterial small subunit ribosomal RNA", at positions 28 to 507 of the family's 1533-position model. The record is from RNAcentral.